AGGGUCAGCUAGAUAGAAUAUUUGGAGAACCUUAUUUGCUGAUUCCUAUUAAAACAAAAGCCAUUUGACAGUUUAGACCUUUCCAGGGAAACCAGGGUCCAUUAUAGCUGCUCUGACCAGUAAGUGAGCCUCACUGAGCAGAUGGAUGCAACUCUCUGUUUUCACAUUUUCAAAUGGGCCUUCAAGCCUAAGCCGGAGGCCAUGCUGCGCUAUCACAAGCAGACCGAGAGGUCGAGGCUACGAGGGACAUAACACAGGAAAAAGAAAAAAAACCACAAAGGCAGCAGCAGAGAAAUGCAAUAAUUCCACCAACAAAAUUAUAAAUGUAGUACCUUGUAAUGACAUGCAGGAACUGUGGAGUGAGAACUGCCUGCUCUGACUUCUCUGAAUAUUGGUAGAAGUAACACUUCAGCUGAGUUGAGGCAAGCUGCAGAACAAAUGAGCAGAAGGCAGUACCUUGGUUAAGGUCACACAGGCAGGACUGCUGAUCAGUCUCCAGUGCAAUCCUUUGAAGCAGGCUGCUCUAAACAAUAACAGAAUUUGACACAAGCUGCUUCAGAAUAAGGUAGUUUCAAUUUCUGAAAGACCAUCCUUUUCUGGUUUACGUUUCUUCAGUCAUAAAUGAAGUGUUUUCCUAAGGUU
Long non-coding RNA from Apus apus (common swift), 642 nucleotides. RefSeq lists it as uncharacterized. The transcript is spliced from 5 exons. Lineage: Eukaryota; Metazoa; Chordata; Aves; Apodiformes; Apodidae. The record is from RefSeq and is a predicted model, not a curated record.